AUGGCGAAGAAGGCCGCAAAGCGAGCUGUUGGUGAAGCAAGGGGUCGGGCAUAUGAGGACCUCUACCAACGGUUAGGCACGAAGGAAGGUGAAAGGGACAUCUAUAAGAUGGCUAAGAUCCGGGAGAGGAAGACGAGGGAUAUUGGCCAAGUCAAAUGCAUCAAGGACGGAGCAGGCCAACUCUUGGUGAAGGACGAAGAGAUUAAGCAUAGAUGGCGGGAGUACUUCGACAAGCUGUUCAAUGGGGAGAAUGAGAGUUCUACCAUUGAACUGAAUGACUCCUUUGAUGAGACUAGCAUGCGUUUUGUGCGGCGCAUCCAGGAGUCUGAGGUGAAGGAGGCUUUAAAAAGGAUGAAAGGAGGCAAGGCGAUGGGCCCUGAUUGUAUCCCCAUUGAGGUGUGGAAAGGUCUCGGGGACAUAGCGAUAGUAUGGCUAACCAAGCUUUUCAACCUCAUUUUUCGGGCAAACAAGAUGCCAGAAGAAUGGAGACGGAGUAUAUUAGUACCAAUCUUCAAGAACAAGGGGGAUGUUCAGAGUUGUACUAAUGACCGUGGAAUUAAGCUGAUGAGCCAUACAAUGAAGCUAUGGGAGAGAGUCAUUGAGCACCGCUUAAGAAGAAUGACAAGCGUGACCAAAAAUCAGUUUGGUUUCAUGCCUGGGAGGUCAACCAUGGAAGCCAUUUUCUUGGUACGACAACUUAUGGAGAGAUAUAGGGAGCAUAAGAAGGACUUGCAUAUGGUGUUCAUUGACUUGGAGAAGGCCUAUGAUAAGAUACCGCGGAAUGUCAUGUGGUGA
This 795-nucleotide ribosomal RNA is filed under the name Triticum aestivum (bread wheat). RNAcentral describes it as "partial small subunit ribosomal RNA". The record is from RNAcentral. Lineage: Eukaryota; Viridiplantae; Streptophyta; Magnoliopsida; Poales; Poaceae.